This 262-nucleotide ribosomal RNA is filed under the name uncultured bacterium. RNAcentral's name for it is "partial 16S ribosomal RNA". It matches the Rfam family "Bacterial small subunit ribosomal RNA", at positions 515 to 776 of the family's 1533-position model. The record is from RNAcentral.
CCGCGGUAAAACGUAGGACGCGAGCGUUAUCCGGAUUUACUGGGCGUAAAGCGCACGUAGGCGGAUUGUUAAGUGAGGGGUGAAAUCCCGGGGCUCAACCCCGGAACUGCCUUUCAUACUGGCAAUCUAGAGUCCGGAAGAGGUAAGUGGAACUCCUAGUGUAGAGGUGGAAUUCGUAGAUAUUAGGAAGAACACCAGUGGCGAAGGCGGCUUACUGGUCCGGAACUGACGCUGAGGUGCGAAAGCGUGGGGAGCAAACAGG